This 107-nucleotide non-coding RNA is filed under the name Clostridium puniceum. Its description in RNAcentral is "Azaaromatic sequence". It matches the Rfam family "azaaromatic riboswitch aptamer (yjdF RNA)". Lineage: Bacteria; Bacillati; Bacillota; Clostridia; Eubacteriales; Clostridiaceae. The record is from Rfam by way of RNAcentral.
AGUUUAAGAGAUAAAAACAUAGUUUCUGUUGGUAGUCAGAACCUAUAUAUAAUUUAAUAUAGCAGUAACCUGCCCUCCUGGGGUUGUCCAUUCUCUAUAAGUUACAU